Molecule: ribosomal RNA, 431 nt
Filed under: uncultured bacterium
Lineage: Bacteria
Description: partial 16S ribosomal RNA
Rfam family: Bacterial small subunit ribosomal RNA
Source: RNAcentral
AACGAACGCUGGCGGCAGGCCUAACACAUGCAAGUCGAGCGCCCUUUCGGGGGAGCGGCGGACGGGUGAGUAACGCGUGGGAAUAUGCCCUUCUCUACGGAAUAGCCUCGGGAAACUGAGAGUAAUACCGUAUACGCCCUUUGGGGGAAAGAUUUAUCGGGGAAGGAUUAGCCCGCGUUGGAUUAGGUAGUUGGUGGGGUAAUGGCCUGCCAAGCCGACGAUCCAUAGCUGGUUUGAGAGGAUGAUCAGCCACACUGGGACUGAGACACGGCCCAGACUCCUACGGGAGGCAGCAGUGGGGAAUCUUAGACAAUGGGGGCAACCCUGAUCUAGCCAUGCCGCGUGAGUGAUGAAGGCCUUAGGGUUGUAAAGCUCUUUCAGCUGGGAAGAUAAUGACGGUACCAGCAGAAGAAGCCCCGGCUAACUCCGUG